Molecule: ribosomal RNA, 253 nt
Filed under: uncultured bacterium
Lineage: Bacteria
Description: partial 16S ribosomal RNA
Rfam family: Bacterial small subunit ribosomal RNA
Source: RNAcentral
UACAGAGGGUGCAAGCGUUAAUCGGAAUUACUGGGCGUAAAGCGUGCGUAGACGGUUAUUUAAGUCAGGUGUGAAAGCCCCGGGCUCAACCUGGGAAUUGCAUUUGAGACUGAAUAGCUAGGGUGCGGAAGAGGGAAGCGGAAUUUCCGGUGUAGCGGUGAAAUGCGUAGAUAUCUGGAGGAACACCGGUGGCGAAGGCGGCAUUCUGGACCGAUAUUGACGCUGAGGAGCGAAAGCCAGGGGAGCAAACGGG